RNAcentral lists this transfer RNA (76 nucleotides) under Alphaproteobacteria bacterium. RNAcentral describes it as "tRNA-Thr". It matches the Rfam family "tRNA". From Rfam's summary of the family: Transfer RNA (tRNA) molecules are approximately 80 nucleotides in length. Lineage: Bacteria; Pseudomonadati; Pseudomonadota; Alphaproteobacteria. RNAcentral also lists the same sequence under 9 other names. The record is from RNAcentral.
GCCGCCUUAGCUCAGCCGGUAGAGCAUCGCAUUCGUAAUGCGGGGGUCGCGUGUUCGAGUCACGCAGGCGGCACCA